GCGCUCGCUUCAGCAGCGCAUAUACUAAAAUUGGAAUGAUACAGAGAAGAUUAACAUGGCCCCUGCGCAAGGAUGACACGCAAAUUCGUGAAGCGUUCCAUAAGUUU
This is a small nuclear RNA of Monodon monoceros (narwhal), 107 nucleotides long. The record is from Ensembl. Lineage: Eukaryota; Metazoa; Chordata; Mammalia; Artiodactyla; Monodontidae.